UACAGAGGUCCCGAGCGUUGUUCGGAUUCAUUGGGCGUAAAGGGUGCGUAGGCGGCGGGGUAAGUCUGAUGUGAAAUCCCGGGGCUCAACCCCGGAACUGCAUUGGAUACUGCCUUGCUAGAGUACUGGAGAGGAAACUGGAAUUUACGGUGUAGCAGUGAAAUGCGUAGAGAUCGUAAGGAAGACCAGUGGCGAAGGCGAGUUUCUGGACAGUAACUGACGCUGAGGCGCGAAGGCCAGGGGAGCAAACGGG
This 253-nucleotide ribosomal RNA is filed under the name uncultured bacterium. Its description in RNAcentral is "partial 16S ribosomal RNA". It matches the Rfam family "Bacterial small subunit ribosomal RNA", at positions 524 to 776 of the family's 1533-position model. The record is from RNAcentral.